RNAcentral lists this ribosomal RNA (784 nucleotides) under Arthrobacter sp. CK124. Its description in RNAcentral is "bacterial SSU rRNA". It matches the Rfam family "Bacterial small subunit ribosomal RNA", at positions 542 to 1324 of the family's 1533-position model. Lineage: Bacteria; Bacillati; Actinomycetota; Actinomycetes; Micrococcales; Micrococcaceae. The record is from RNAcentral.
CGUAUCGGAUUAUUGGGCGUAAGAGCUCGUAGGCGGUUUGUCGCGUCUGCCGUGAAAGUCCGGGGCUCAACUCCGGAUCUGCGGUGGGUACGGGCAGACUAGAGUGAUGUAGGGGAGACUGGAAUUCCUGGUGUAGCGGUGAAAUGCGCAGAUAUCAGGAGGAACACCGAUGGCGAAGGCAGGUCUCUGGGCAUUAACUGACGCUGAGGAGCGAAAGCAUGGGGAGCGAACAGGAUUAGAUACCCUGGUAGUCCAUGCCGUAAACGUUGGGCACUAGGUGUGGGGGACAUUCCACGUUUUCCGCGCCGUAGCUAACGCAUUAAGUGCCCCGCCUGGGGAGUACGGCCGCAAGGCUAAAACUCAAAGGAAUUGACGGGGGCCCGCACAAGCGGCGGAGCAUGCGGAUUAAUUCGAUGCAACGCGAAGAACCUUACCAAGGCUUGACAUGGGCCGGACCGGGCUGGAAACAGUCCUUCCCCUUUGGGGCCGGUUCACAGGUGGUGCAUGGUUGUCGUCAGCUCGUGUCGUGAGAUGUUGGGUUAAGUCCCGCAACGAGCGCAACCCUCGUUCCAUGUUGCCAGCGCGUAAUGGCGGGGACUCAUGGGAGACUGCCGGGGUCAACUCGGAGGAAGGUGGGGACGACGUCAAAUCAUCAUGCCCCUUAUGUCUUGGGCUUCACGCAUGCUACAAUGGCCGGUACAAAGGGUUGCGAUACUGUGAGGUGGAGCUAAUCCCAAAAAGCCGGUCUCAGUUCGGAUUGGGGUCUGCAACUCGACCCCAUGAA